ACACUCCUGCGGGAGGCAGCAGUGGGGAAUUUUGGACAAUGGGCGAAAGCCUGAUCCAGCAAUGCCGCGUGUGUGAAGAAGGCCUUCGGGUUGUAAAGCACUUUUGUCCGGAAAGAAAUCCUUGGCUCUAAUACAGUCGGGGGAUGACGGUACCGGACGAAUAAGCACCGGCUAACUACGUGCCAGCAGCCGCGGUAAUACGUAGGGUGCGAGCGUUAAUCGGAAUUACUGGGCGUAAAGCGUGCGCAGGCGGUUUGCUAAGACCGAUGUGAAAUCCCCGGGCUCAACCUGGGAACUGCAUUGGUGACUGGCAGGCUAGAGUAUGGCAGAGUGGGGUAGAAUUCCACGUGUAGCAGUGAAAUGCGUAGAGAUGUGGAGGAAUACCGAUGGCGAAGGCAGCCCCCUGGGCCAAUACUGACGCUCAUGCACGAAAGCGUGGGGAGCAAACAGGAUUAGAAACCCCAGUAGUCCCAUGAU
This 477-nucleotide ribosomal RNA is filed under the name uncultured organism. RNAcentral describes it as "partial 16S ribosomal RNA". It matches the Rfam family "Bacterial small subunit ribosomal RNA", at positions 333 to 801 of the family's 1533-position model. The record is from RNAcentral.